RNAcentral lists this ribosomal RNA (361 nucleotides) under uncultured bacterium. RNAcentral's name for it is "bacterial SSU rRNA". It matches the Rfam family "Bacterial small subunit ribosomal RNA", at positions 114 to 506 of the family's 1533-position model. The record is from RNAcentral.
CGCGUGGGAAUCUGCCCUUGGCGUUCGGAAUAACAGCGGGAAACUGCUCGCUAAUACCGAUAUGAUGACGUAAGUCCAAAGAUUUAUCGCCCAGGGAUGAGCCCGCGUAGGAUUAGCUAGUUGGUGUGGUAAAGGCACACCAAGGCGACGAUCCUUAGCUGGUCUGAGAGGAUGAUCAGCCACACUGGGACUGAGACACGGCCCAGACUCCUACGGGAGGCAGCAGUGGGGAAUAUUGGACAAUGGGCGAAAGCCUGAUCCAGCAAUGCCGACGUGAGUGAUGAAGGCCUUAGGGUUGUAAAGCUCUUUUACCCGGGAUGAUAAUGACAGUACCGGGAGAAUAAGCUCUGGCUAAAUCCGU